UACGUAGGGGGCGAGCGUUGUCCGGAAUUACUGGGCGUAAAGCGCAUGUAGGCGGGCGACUAAGUCAGGGGUGAAAACCGUGGGCUCAACCUACGGCUUGCCCUUGAUACUGGUCGUCUUGAGUACAGGAGAGGGAAGCGGAAUUCCCGGUGUAGCGGUGAAAUGCGUAGAUAUCGGGAGGACCACCUGUGGCGAAGGCGCUCGGCUGGAACGCGUCCGACGGUGAGGGACGAAGGCCAGGGGAGCAAACCGG
RNAcentral lists this ribosomal RNA (253 nucleotides) under uncultured microorganism. RNAcentral describes it as "partial 16S ribosomal RNA". It matches the Rfam family "Bacterial small subunit ribosomal RNA", at positions 524 to 776 of the family's 1533-position model. The record is from RNAcentral.